UAACAAGGAUUCCCCUAGUAACUGCGAGUGAAGCGGGAAGAGCUCAAAUUUAAAAUCUGGCGGUUUCACCGUCCGAGUUGUAAUCUGGAGAAGCAUUUUCCGCGUUGGACCGUGUACAAGUCUCUUGGAAUAGAGCGUCAUAGAGGGUGAGAAUCCCGUCCAUGACACGGACUACCAGUGCUUUGUGAUAUGCUCUCAAAGAGUCGAGUUGUUUGGGAAUGCAGCUCAAAAUGGGUGGUAAAUUCCAUCUAAAGCUAAAUAUUGGCGAGAGACCGAUAGCGAACAAGUACCGUGAGGGAAAGAUGAAAAGCACUUUGGAAAGAGAGUUAAACAGUACGUGAAAUUGUUGAAAGGGAAACGCUUGAAGUCAGUCGCGUUGUCCGGGACUCAGCCUUGCUAUUUGCUUGGUGUACUUCCUGGUUGACGGGUCAACAUCAAUUUUGGCUGGUGGAUAAAGGCUGAGAGAAGGUGGCAUCUUCGGAUGUGUUAUAGCUCUUGGUUGCAUACGCUGGCUGGGAUUGAGGUCUGCAGCACGCCUUUUGGCCGGGGUUCGCCCACGUAACGUGCUUAGGAUGUUGGCAUAAUGGCUUUAAGCGACCCGUCUUGAAACACGGACCAAGGAGUCUAACAUGCCUGCGAGUAUUAGAGUGGAAAACUCUUGUGCGAAAUGAAAGUGAAAGUUGGGACUCUUUGCGGAGGCACCAACGCCCGGCCCUGAAGUUUACUGACGGUGCUGCGGUAGAGCAUGUAUGUUGGGACCCGAAAGAUGGUGAACUAUGCCUGAAUAGGGUGAAGCCAGGGGAAACUCUGGUGGAGGCUCGUAGCGAUUCUGACGUGCAAAUCGAUCGUCAAAUUUGGG
Molecule: ribosomal RNA, 859 nt
Filed under: Lyomyces crustosus
Lineage: Eukaryota; Fungi; Basidiomycota; Agaricomycetes; Hymenochaetales; Schizoporaceae
Description: partial large subunit ribosomal RNA
Rfam family: Eukaryotic large subunit ribosomal RNA
Source: RNAcentral